Long non-coding RNA from Papaver somniferum (opium poppy), 1501 nucleotides. RefSeq lists it as uncharacterized. The transcript has 3 exons. Lineage: Eukaryota; Viridiplantae; Streptophyta; Magnoliopsida; Ranunculales; Papaveraceae. The record is from RefSeq and is a predicted model, not a curated record.
UCUCUGCUCUUCUUCUGCCGAUGUUUGAGAGUUGAGUUUGAGAUUUGAUUUGAGAGAAUCAAUUGAAGUGGGUAUGCAGAUGUUGAAGGUGAUGGUGCUGCUGCGAAUUAGGAAGAUAACUAUAAGGAAUCGAAGACAUAAAUCCAGGGAAGUUCAGUUAGGGUUUGUUAAACUCGUUAAUUGAGUUCGUAUGCAAAUGAUAUGGUACUUAGGUUGCUGCUAGAGGAAGAUAACAAGGGUUGUGGUUGAAUUGAAUAUUAGCAGUUGACUCAGUGUAGAGUUGACCAGAAUUGGGGUUGGUGACGAAUUGAUGAGAUGAAGAUGUUCUGGAGAAGAAUCAAAGCUAAGGUAAUUUAGAGUUUCAUAAUUGAAUUUUUGGUUGGUGUGAAUUAAUCUAAUUCGGUGAAUUGGUGUUGGGUUUAUUUCUGAUUUAAGUAUAAAUGGUUGUAUGAAGUUCAAUUUUGAUUCAAGGGGAAUUAGGGUCUGUUCUUCUUAAUUAGAAUAUGGCAUCCUGGUGUUUGAAUAAUUUACAUGGGAUAGAAGAAAAGUUAAAUAUAAUUGGUGGUGUUAUGUGAAGUUUAUAUAACUGUGGUCGUAGUUCAGAUUUGGUUGAAUUACAGGGGACAUUUAUUAUAGUGGGGGUCUGGGAAUGUAUGUACUAGUGGUGGUAAUGGAAUUGGUUAAGCUGAGUUGUUGUUUGAUCUGGGUGUGGAUUGAACUGAGAUGAGUUGAAGUAGACUAUUGUUUAGCUUCAGUUGUGAGAAUUGUAUUGCAGGUGAUAUGGGAUUGAUCAGAUGAUGGAUGAAUGUUGUAGUUAUUACAGAUGAUCAGUGUUAUCUGAAUUGAAGCUUAGACACAUGAAUUAGAAGAUUUAUGAACAUAUAGCUGGGGUUAAGUUGUUUUGCAGACAAAUUGUAAAUGCAGAAGGAGUGAAAAGAAGACUAUGGUGGUGAACUGUGAUAAGAACUGUUGGCUGGUGAAGUGAAUCCGAGAUUGAGAUAAGUGCAAAAUGGAGUUGUGGUUAUAGUUUGGGGUUGUAAUGUGUUGUAAGAUGGACUGAUAGUGGUGUUGCAGGUGAAAUAGUUGGUGGUGUUACUGGUUCAGUUGAUAAUGAAAGUAAAUGUUGAUACUGUUGUGACUAUGAAGAAGGUUAUCGGUUUCUUGAGAUGAUGAAUGAGUUAUGAAUUCGAAUGUGCUGGUUGUUGUAGAAUUGGAGUUGCAACUACAGAGUUGAGGUGUGUGAGCUGUUGGUUGGUAGUAGGGUUUUUCCAGUCACAGGACAUGAAAGAAGUAUAUGAUGUAGUAUGAAUGUAAUGGGUUAUGGUAGAUGUAGGGAUAUUGAUGGACUCGGUGGAGGCUUGCAUCUGCUACCUGCAGGAUACAGGUCCUUCAUUUACUGGUGCGAGACGAGUCACCAUAUUAUUAUAUAGGUGCGGGACGAUUCACCAUAUUAUUAUCUAGUUUCAGAGACAGAUCAGAGUUGCGUAGCGAAAGCUUCAAG